RNAcentral lists this ribosomal RNA (580 nucleotides) under Tricholoma matsutake. RNAcentral describes it as "eukaryotic LSU rRNA". It matches the Rfam family "Eukaryotic large subunit ribosomal RNA", at positions 81 to 657 of the family's 3401-position model. Lineage: Eukaryota; Fungi; Basidiomycota; Agaricomycetes; Agaricales; Tricholomataceae. The record is from RNAcentral.
UAGUACGGCGAGUGAAGCGGGAAGAGCUCAAAUUUGAAAUCUGGCACUUUCAGUGUCCGAGUUGUAAUCUCGAGAAGUGUUUUCCGCGCUGGACCGCAUAUAAGUCUGUUGGAAUACAGCGUCAUAGUGGUGAGAACCCCGUAAAUGAUGCGGACGCCCAGUGCUUUGUGAUACACUUUCGAAGAGUCGAGUUGUUUGGGAAUGCAGCUCAAAUUGGGUGGUAAAUUCCAUCUAAAGCUAAAUAUUGGCGAGAGACCGAUAGCGAACAAGUACCGUGAGGGAAAGAUGAAAAGCACUUUGGAAAGAGAGUUAACAGUACGUGAAAUUGUUGGAAGGGAAACGCUUGAAGUCAGACUUGCUGUUUGGAAUUCAGCCGCAAGGUGUACUUUUCAGAUAUGCAGGCCAGCAUCAGUUUUUGGGGGUGAAAAAGGGUAUUGAGAAGGUAGCAGUUUCGGCUGUGUUAUAGCUCUUUACUGGAUUCAUCCUUGGGGACUGAGGAACGCAGCUCACUUUUUGCACGACCCUCGGGUUGUUCUGAGCUUAGGAUGCUGGUGGAAUGGCUUUAAACGACCCGUCUUGA